This is a non-coding RNA of Micromonospora echinospora, 63 nucleotides long. The record is from Rfam. Lineage: Bacteria; Bacillati; Actinomycetota; Actinomycetes; Micromonosporales; Micromonosporaceae.
CCGGUUCCGGUUCACGCCCGAUCCUGCGCAGGCACGACCCGCGCGGACGGCGACCCGGCGACC